CCGCCCGGCGCGGGAGCGGAGCAGAGCGGGCCGCCGAGUCCCGAGCGGCCGGCGGCCGGGGCUCCCCGCCCCUCCCUGCUCUCCGGCGGCGGCGGCGGCGGCGGCGGCGGGCGGAGUGAGCGGCGGAGCCUGGAAUAUGGUCGGGGAAAUGGAAACGAAGGAGAAGCCGAAGCCCACCCCGGAUUACCUGAUGCAGCUGAUGAACGACAAGAAGCUCAUGAGCAGCCUGCCCAACUUCUGCGGGAUCUUCAACCACCUCGAGCGGCUGCUGGACGAAGAAAUUAGCAGAGUACGGAAAGACAUGUACAAUGACACAUUAAAUGGCAGUACAGAGAAAAGGAGUGCAGAGUUGCCUGAUGCUGUGGGACCUAUUGUUCAGUUACAAGAGAAACUUUAUGUGCCUGUAAAAGAAUAUCCAGAUUUUAAUUUUGUUGGGAGAAUCCUUGGACCUAGAGGACUUACUGCUAAACAGCUUGAAGCAGAAACAGGAUGUAAAAUAAUGGUCCGAGGCAAAGGCUCAAUGAGGGAUAAAAAGAAGGAGGAGCAAAAUAGAGGCAAGCCUAAUUGGGAGCAUCUCAAUGAAGAUUUACAUGUACUGAUCACUGUGGAAGACGCUCAAAACAGAGCAGAAAUAAAACUGAAGAGAGCCGUUGAGGAAGUGAAGAAAUUACUGGUACCUGCAGCGGAGGGAGAAGACAGCCUGAAGAAGAUGCAGCUGAUGGAGCUUGCGAUACUGAAUGGCACCUACAGAGAUGCCAACAUUAAAUCACCAGCCCUUGCCUUUUCUCUUGCAGCAACUGCCCAGGCUGCUCCAAGGAUUAUUACCGGGCCUGCGCCUGUUCUCCCACCAGCUGCCCUGCGUACUCCUACGCCAGCUGGCCCUACCAUAAUGCCUUUGAUCAGACAAAUACAGACCGCCGUCAUGCCGAACGGAACUCCUCACCCAACUGCUGCAAUAGUUCCUCCAGGGCCCGAAGCUGGUUUGAUUUACACACCCUAUGAGUACCCCUACACGUUGGCACCAGCUACAUCAAUCCUUGAGUAUCCUAUUGAACCUAGUGGUGUAUUAGGUAUGGCUUUCCCAACGAAAGGCUAAGAAUUCAAGAACGGUCUUAACUGAACCCUCAUCAGAUCUGAAUUUAACAAAUGCUUAGUCUCAGCAGCCUUUGGGGGUAGGGGUGGGAGGGAAGCUUAGCCUAGCAGUCAGUGACUUACUUGCACUUUUUGCACACUGAUCAAAGUAAAAGUAUGUCAGUAAUUUGGUUUAGUCUGUAAUCUUAUGAAGUAACGGUAACUUACAGAGUGUGUAGUAGUAUACUGACUGCUAAGUGUACUAUACUGUUUGCUUUACUAAUCACCUAAUUCAUUGCAGUUCAUACUUAUUGACGCAAAGUUUAAAACCACAAUCUGUAGGCUUUAAGAAUUGCUUUUAAACCUUUUUAAGUGAUAAACUCUGGAAGUGGUCUUAAGGUUAGCAUAUAAUUGUCAGUAUUAAAUAUGGUAUUAUUUAAGUAGUCCUGCUGCAAGAAAGGCACUUCAGUGAAUAUGUGACUAGUAAAGCUUAAAUAUGUUUGGAUCUAAUAGAGUUCUUAAAAUACUGUAAGUUGGGAUUGUAAAUGAAUGGAUAAAUAGGUUAAGGCCAAGAUGUUUGAAAUGAAUGCAAUAUUAAUAGACACAUAUAUCACAACAUAUUAUGGUUAAUUUUAAAACUACUGUGCCUUAACGUGUUUCUUAUGAUGAAACUUUUGUAGUAAAUGAACAUUUGUAAUCCAUUUGAUAAACCUGCUGUUAAUGUUUGUUUUCUUUUCCCUUGUGAAUAUUUUCUAACCUUGUCUUGGUAAUUGCAAUUUAACUAGGUGCGGUGGCUACUAAAGUUCGAAGGCACGAUAUGCGUGUCCAUCCUUACCAAAGGAUUGUGACCGCAGACCGAGCCGCCACCGGCAACUAACCUAUGACCUUCUGACCUCUGAACUCUUCACCCAAUGAUGACCUGACCAUGCCUGCCUGCUGAUCAGUUAACUGGUAAUCGCCUUUGCUUGCCUGUCGUCAGUGCAGCGAGCUGAGGCACUUGUCCGUUCGUUCGUCUUACCAUCUAACCAAACAAAAGACAAAGAAAUUGUCCUCCAACUCAGCUUUUGUUUUUUGGUUUUUUGUUCUGUUUGGGUGAAAGUGGUUCUAGAACCUGCACUGAAUAGUAGUAAAGCAAUAAGGCCCAAUUCAUCCCACAGCACUGAUCAUCUUGUAAUGUCCCACCCUAAGCGAACGGUAAGAAGGCCUCAUUUCAGAAGGGAACACAGAUGGCCCUUAAGUACUCAGUGACAGAGGCAGUUACUGUGAGAAACUUCUAGGAAUCUCUUCUCAUAGCGAGUCAAGCUCUCUGAAUGUACUGUGUGAUGAUGCAUCAUGCAUGAACCUUUGGUCAGGGAUGUCAUUGGUGAAGUGAUUUCAAAAGUAUUCAAAAUUGGAUAUGCUGUUUAGUCACUACAGUGCCCUCAAAGGGCACAAGUUGCAGCCUUUUUUAUAUUGCCUGCCAAAAUUUGAUUAGAAGUGUGCCAUGAGAGAAAGCUUAACAAGGAAUUUUGAAAAGUAAUGCAAAGAACAAACUGCAACACUAUUUUUAAAGGUAAAUAUCUGAGUUAAAAUUACUGAACCUUUAUUUUACACCUCCUUAAAAAAAUAUAUGAAAACAAGGUACAUGCAUUAUGUGUCACAUUACUGGGCAAACUGUUCAAAUAUUUUUUUUAAACCUCCCUGUAUAGAAAAAAAUCAUUAAGGAUGUAAAAGCCAUGCUUGCCUAUUUGCUGUAUACAUGUAAUGAAAUUGUAGAUAAAGUGUAGUGCAUUGAAACAAAUGAACAAAAAGUAGAUACUUUUACUAUACAAGGGUGCUGGUGCAGAAAAAAAUAUAUAUAUUUUUGGAAAUGUAGCAUUUUAUACUUUCAAGUGUUAUAAAAAAAAGAAAAAGAACAAAGAAACCCUUUAUUUCAUUAAAUGAUUUUUUCUGGUGGUUGUCAAGAAACAAAAGACCAAAAGAGCCUUUUUGUCUUUCUUUUUUAUUUUUUAAGUAUUGGAAUAAGUCUAAAGAAAAGAAAGUGCCUUAUUUUCCUUCAUAGUCAUUUAGUCAAGUGUCUCGUAAGAUCAGCUCCUCCCUCAGAAUACAAGUUAAUGCAUGUUACUCCAUCGCCCAGUAUGUGAAAGAAGAUAGGAGGGGAGACAAAUGAGUUGAUGGUUUGAAUUAUAUGAUUUUUGCCACAUUAUCUUGAUACAAAUUUGCCAAAUUUGAUACUGUGAAAAAAGUUUGAUAACUUUUCUAAUGCCUGACAAGUUUUAAAACAUCUUUCUUUUCAAGUCAUAAUUGAACGCUUUGGUUAUUGUGCUAUUUAAUAUUAGCCCAAAGGAUUCUGAAAUGAAAAUUACGUGUGAUCUGAAUGAACAUCACUUUACAGACAAAAUUAGAGCUUUGUUUUAUUCGGAGAAGGGAUCCAAGGGUGUUAGGGUUUUUUUUAAAUUAUUAAUUGGAGAUAAUAGUAUACUUAGCAAACUUAUUCACAAAAGUGAAACUUUGUCAUUUUCAUUCUAGAAAACAGUGUUUUUAAAUGACCCAAACUUAAUCAGACUUUCUGUCAUUAUCCAGAUCACUUGGGUAAUCCAUCUCUGCUGGUUUUAGUAACUGAAGCUGCCCCACUCCCCCAAAACCACCCUCCCACAUACUUUUUCUUUAACUUGAAAAGAAUGUGAAAAACAAGCAUCAUUAUGCAUACUCAACUACAUGUAAGUUGUAAGCUUCCAGUUUCUCAUGAAGUUCAGUUUUAUAGUUGAAGCAGUUUGUGCACAGAGCCUACAUCUAAACACAUAAGUAGGUAAUCAUUAACUGCUCAGUACCAGAUGUGGCAAAUAUCAAGUGGCAGUGGGUCCCCAGCUCAUCAACUCGCUCCCUCUGACACCUUCACAGCUUCACAGUCAGAGGUCAGCAGGAAGCUCAGGGAGCACCUGCAUGGUGACUUCCAUCAUCUUGUCUCACUUGGAAAUGUUUUCAGUUUAUUUACUAUGCAAUAGACAUUCAUUGUUUUAUAUUCAGCUAGCUCUGGUUUAAUGUGCCACUGCUGUGUCUUUCUGUUACACAUACAGUUGUUUUGAUUUACUUACAAUAUAUGCUGUGCCAUUUUGAUUUUAAUUUUGUUUGGUUGGUUGAAUAAAUUUGCGACACUCAAACCCUUGAGGUGAUAGUGUAAGUUUUAAAAUGAUACCAGUAUUUGAUCCAGUUUCAUCUCAACUAUGUUAUACCUGGACAUUUUAGAUGUUUAUCAAAGGUCUUUUAUGGGGAAGUAAAUGUAUGAAAUAAAUGUGUGACAUUUAUGAGUAAUGUUAGCUCUGAACAAACUUUUGAAAACUUAGUUGACAAAAUUUUGGAUCAACUGAAAAAAAGCAUGACUUUUGAAAUUUCUGAAUGCCUUGGUUCGCAGUAUUAUCAUUCUUUACUGAAUUUAUUUCUUAUUAAAAUACGUAGUUUUUAAGACUUUUUUUCUGACAGUAUUAUGUAAUUUUUUUAGCGUGGGUAGAUGGGAGUGUCACUUGUAUGUUACCGUACAGCUGACAUGUAUUUUUGUCUAUUCUUUAUUAUCUUAGUAGUUUCAUGCUGUGUAUGUACCAUAACCAACCUAUUGCCUAUGAGAAACAUGUAAGAUAAUGUAUUUACAGCCAUUGUUACAAGUUUAUAAUGUAUUUUUCUAUCUUGUUUUAUAUGUAUGUUAUAUAACAUUCAAAAAGAAUUUUUUUCUUGAUUGAGAAAAGGAUACAAAAUGCAAAAUCCACAAUUUUGAUAACCGAAAAUUGCCAAUUGUUUUGCAGUACUUUAUUAUAUUGGGUGUCUUGUCUUUCUUGGGCUUUUAGUUAGCUAAUGAAUGAAUACAUUAGACACUUUUGGGUUUUAGUUGGGAUUUUACAUAGCUUGCAUUUUAAUUCUUUGGUUCUUUGCUGUUUCUAUUAACCCAUAGCAUUAUUUUAAUAAAUGUUAUAAUACCAACCUACUAA
Manis javanica (Malayan pangolin) is the source of this 5030-nucleotide RNA transcript. It is a transcript of the gene named QKI, KH domain containing RNA binding, with no coding region annotated. NCBI's taxonomy places the organism in Eukaryota, Metazoa, Chordata, Mammalia, Pholidota, Manidae. The record is from RefSeq and is a predicted model, not a curated record.